AAUAAUGUUUAAAUUCGAAACUGACUUGGAAAACCCUGUAAUAUAGACUCUCUCAUCCAACUUCUAUUCUUAGCCGUCAUUGGUAACAUGUGUCACCACAUAUGAGUACUUAGACUAGAUCCAAACCCUUGGGCGGAUGGUGGCAUAUGGCGAACCAGGAGAGG
Anopheles gambiae (African malaria mosquito) is the source of this 164-nucleotide non-coding RNA. The record is from Rfam. NCBI's taxonomy places the organism in Eukaryota, Metazoa, Arthropoda, Insecta, Diptera, Culicidae.